RNAcentral lists this transfer RNA (75 nucleotides) under Candidatus Uhrbacteria bacterium. Its description in RNAcentral is "tRNA-Arg". It matches the Rfam family "tRNA". From Rfam's summary of the family: Transfer RNA (tRNA) molecules are approximately 80 nucleotides in length. Their secondary structure includes four short double-helical elements and three loops (D, anti-codon, and T loops). The record is from RNAcentral. Lineage: Bacteria; Candidatus Uhriibacteriota.
GCCCCGGUAGUUCAAUGGAUAGAACUGUGGACUUCUAAGCCACUAAUGGGGGUUCAAUUCCCUCCCGGGGCACCA